GCUCAGGAUGAACGCUAGCUACAGGCUUAACACAUGCAAGUCGAGGGGCAGCAUGGUCUUAGCUUGCUAAGGCCGAUGGCGACCGGCGCACGGGUGAGUAACACGUAUCCAACCUGCCGUCUACUCUUGGACAGCCUUCUGAAAGGAAGAUUAAUACAAGAUGGCAUCAUGAGUCCGCAUGUUCACAUGAUUAAAGGUAUUCCGGUAGACGAUGGGGAUGCGUUCCAUUAGAUAGUAGGCGGGGUAACGGCCCACCUAGUCUUCGAUGGAUAGGGGUUCUGAGAGGAAGGUCCCCCACAUUGGAACUGAGACACGGUCCAAACUCCUACGGGAGGCAGCAGUGAGGAAUAUUGGUCAAUGGGCGAGAGCCUGAACCAGCCAAGUAGCGUGAAGGAUGACUGCCCUAUGGGUUGUAAACUUCUUUUAUAAAGGAAUAAAGUCGGGUAUGGAUACCCGUUUGCAUGUACUUUAUGAAUAAGGAUCGGCUAACUCCGUGCCAGCAGCCGCGGUAAUACGGAGGAUCCGAGCGUUAUCCGGAUUUAUUGGGUUUAAAGGGAGCGUAGAUGGAUGUUUAAGUCAGUUGUGAAAGUUUGCGGCUCAACCGUAAAAUUGCAGUUGAUACUGGAUAUCUUGAGUGCAGUUGAGGCAGGCGGAAUUCGUGGUGUAGCGGUG
This 672-nucleotide ribosomal RNA is filed under the name uncultured organism. RNAcentral describes it as "SSU rRNA". It matches the Rfam family "Bacterial small subunit ribosomal RNA", at positions 22 to 683 of the family's 1533-position model. The record is from RNAcentral.